This 471-nucleotide ribosomal RNA is filed under the name uncultured bacterium. RNAcentral's name for it is "bacterial SSU rRNA". It matches the Rfam family "Bacterial small subunit ribosomal RNA", at positions 36 to 518 of the family's 1533-position model. The record is from RNAcentral.
CUGGCGGCGUGGAUUAGGCAUGCAAGUCGAACGGUAGAUAUCCUUCGGGAUAUUGAGAGUGGCGAACGGGGUGAGUAACGAACGUAGAAAAUCUACCUCGAGGAAGGGGACAACAGGUUGGAAACGACGUGCUAAUACCCUAUAUGAGCUGGGCUGAAACGCCUAUCUUGAAAGUUCCGGCGCCUUGAGAUGAGUCUGCGUCUGAUUAGCUAGUUGGUGGGGUAAAUGCCUACCAAGGCGACGAUCAGUAGCUGGUUUGAGAGGAUGACCAGCCACAAUGGGACUGAGACACGGCCCAUACUCCUACGGGAGGCAGCAGUAGGGAAUUUUGCGCAAUGGGGGGAAAAACCCCUGACGCAGCAACACCGCGUGAACGACGAAGCCCUUCGGGGUGUAAAGUUCUGUCCAGUAGGGACGAAUUUUGACGGUACCUACAAAGGAAGCAUCGGCUAACUACGUGCCAGCCGCCGC